Molecule: long non-coding RNA, 917 nt
Filed under: Anas platyrhynchos platyrhynchos (common mallard)
Lineage: Eukaryota; Metazoa; Chordata; Aves; Anseriformes; Anatidae
Description: lncRNA (ENSAPLG00000018227.1)
Source: RNAcentral
AUAUGUCUUCACUGAAGCUACCUACCCACCAUGUGUGCCAUCCCAUUGAAGAGGCACAGUUACGAUGUAAAGAAGACAAGGCCUUGGGUGGAUAAAUUGGAGAAUGAAUCAUUUUAUAAUUGCCUGGUUCUCUAUACUUUCUCUCUAGGUAUUUGCACAUGUCCAUUAUUGGAAAUGGGAAAGUAGGCAGGUGGGAGGAUAUCCAUCCUGGCCUAAUGCAGCCUGGUUUAUUUUAUAUUAUUAUCUGGGAUGAUAUGAGGAACUGUGGAUGAGGAAGGCUCUGCAAAGGGGUGUGAGUUUGCCUUUCCAUCUCCUGCCAAACGCAGCCUGCAGAUGCAUUGCUGAAAAAGGAACAUGAUGUAUGUAACAAUUAAAUACUCAACAGCCUCAUCAGAACCACAAGACACAAAGGCACUGGCAGGACUCAGAAGAUGGUAGCCUCCCUAGAGCACUUUGAAUAAGUUAUGGUUACCUGGAAAAAGUGGCAGCACAAACUUAAUCUGAAGUCAAGCACAAGAGGAAGUGGUGGGAAGAACAUGGUCCAUGCAGUCCAACGCUUUGCAGACAUGACAAGCUGUGUCCUGUUGGUGUCUUCCCGAAUCCCUCCCUACAUCAGCCAACACAAGGAGAGACAUCUCGAGAUGUGCUCUGGGAUGCAAGAUGCUGCCGCUCUGGAUGCAAAUUUCCCAGAAAUCACGCUCCUCCACUGGAUGUCUUCAACGAUCCUCCCUUCCCAGCCAUCGCUUUGCAGAGGGCAGGUCACAGAACCAGGGCAUAAAACGUCCCCUUCGUGCCCCUGCCUGAUGGCUGGGCUGAGCGUGGCCCCACCAAAGGCAGGAGCUGUGGCUGUGCGCAGGGGAGGCUCCGCAAAGCAGCCCCCUCAUUUUCUCCAGCACUCACAGGGCUCCAGUGAGUGA